GGCCAAAUAGCUCAGUUGGUUAAAGCAUUGUCCUGAUAUGACAAAGUUGCAAGUUCGAUCCCUGGUCAGGGCA
This 73-nucleotide transfer RNA is filed under the name Myotis lucifugus (little brown bat). It matches the Rfam family "tRNA". From Rfam's summary of the family: Transfer RNA (tRNA) molecules are approximately 80 nucleotides in length. Their secondary structure includes four short double-helical elements and three loops (D, anti-codon, and T loops). Lineage: Eukaryota; Metazoa; Chordata; Mammalia; Chiroptera; Vespertilionidae. The record is from Rfam by way of RNAcentral.